This 465-nucleotide ribosomal RNA is filed under the name Vreelandella stevensii. RNAcentral's name for it is "partial 16S ribosomal RNA". It matches the Rfam family "Bacterial small subunit ribosomal RNA", at positions 338 to 795 of the family's 1533-position model. The record is from RNAcentral. Lineage: Bacteria; Pseudomonadati; Pseudomonadota; Gammaproteobacteria; Oceanospirillales; Halomonadaceae.
CCUACGGGGGGCUGCAGUGGGGAAUAUUGGACAAUGGGGGGAACCCUGAUCCAGCCAUGCCGCGUGUGUGAAGAAGGCCCUCGGGUUGUAAAGCACUUUCAGUGAGGAAGAACGCCUGGUGGUUAAUACCCAUCAGGAAAGACAUCACUCACAGAAGAAGCACCGGCUAACUCCGUGCCAGCAGCCGCGGUAAUACGGAGGGUGCGAGCGUUAAUCGGAAUUACUGGGCGUAAAGCGCGCGUAGGUGGCUUGAUAAGCCGGUUGUGAAAGCCCCGGGCUCAACCUGGGAACGGCAUCCGGAACUGUCAAGCUAGAGUGCAGGAGAGGAAGGUAGAAUUCCCGGUGUAGCGGUGAAAUGCGUAGAGAUCGGGAGGAAUACCAGUGGCGAAGGCGGCCUUCUGGACUGACACUGACACUGAGGUGCGAAAGCGUGGGUAGCAAACAGGAUUGGAUACCCUUGUAGUC